This 255-nucleotide ribosomal RNA is filed under the name uncultured bacterium. RNAcentral's name for it is "partial 16S ribosomal RNA". It matches the Rfam family "Bacterial small subunit ribosomal RNA", at positions 107 to 354 of the family's 1533-position model. The record is from RNAcentral.
UGAGUAACACGUGAGUGACCUGCCUUUUAGACUGGAACAACUUACCGAAAGGUGAGCUAAUGCCGGAUGAGUUAUAUAAGUGCAUGUUUAUAUAGGAAAAGUUUGGGGAGACCUGACGCUGAAAGAUGGACUCGCGUCCCAUUAGCUAGUUGGUAGGGUAAUGGCCUACCAAGGCGACGAUGGGUAGCCGGCCUGAGAGGGUGGCCGGCCACACUGGGACUAAGACACGGCCCAGACUCCUACGGGAGGCAGCAG